This 549-nucleotide ribosomal RNA is filed under the name uncultured bacterium. RNAcentral describes it as "partial 16S ribosomal RNA". It matches the Rfam family "Bacterial small subunit ribosomal RNA", at positions 355 to 925 of the family's 1533-position model. The record is from RNAcentral.
UGGGGAAUCUUGCGCAAUGGGCGAAAGCCUGACGCAGCCAUGCCGCGUGAAUGAUGAAGGUCUUAGGAUUGUAAAAUUCUUUCACCGGGGACGAUAAUGACGGUACCCGGAGAAGAAGCCCCGGCUAACUUCGUGCCAGCAGCCGCGGUAAUACGAAGGGGGCUAGCGUUGCUCGGAAUUACUGGGCGUAAAGGGAGCGUAGGCGGACAUUUAAGUCAGGGGUGAAAUCCCGGGGCUCAACCUCGGAAUUGCCUUUGAUACUGGGUGUCUUGAGUGUGAGAGAGGUAUGUGGAACUCCGAGUGUAGAGGUGAAAUUCGUAGAUAUUCGGAAGAACACCAGUGGCGAAGGCGACAUACUGGCUCAUUACUGACGCUGAGGCUCGAAAGCGUGGGGAGCAAACAGGAUUAGAUACCCUGGUAGUCCACGCCGUAAAGCGACGAUUGCUAGUUGUCGGGAUGCAUGCUUUCGGUGACGCAGCUAACGCAUUAAGCAAUCCGCCUGGGGNGUACGUCGCAGAUAAAACUCAAAUGAAUUGACGGGGGUCAUAG